AAAUGUUCUCAAAAUUUUUGGUUUGGAUACAAAAAACCAAGUGAAAAUGAUACUGGAAAGACUGUUUACCGUUUAACUCCUUUCCCAGUCUAACCUAGUGGGUUCAAAAAGAAGGGAACGCGCUGGAAACAUGAGUGGAUUAAAAGGAUCAGCCCUUUUUGAAUUAAAAAUCAAAGUGAUAACCAGUUAGAAGUCGUAACCUGCUCGUAUGAAAGGAUUUCUCGACGUGAAAUUGUUAAUUUUAUUCAACAACGCCAAGAAACAGAGCUCGCUCAAGAAACAGAAAAGAAAAAAAAAGAUGAAAAAAAUUCUGUUGAACAA
Molecule: long non-coding RNA, 321 nt
Organism: Hydra vulgaris (swiftwater hydra)
Lineage: Eukaryota; Metazoa; Cnidaria; Hydrozoa; Anthoathecata; Hydridae
Source: RefSeq, a predicted model, not a curated record